GAUCGUAAUGCAAUGUAUUCUCUUUUCUUGUAUCAGCUAUUUCUUUCUUGUGCACUAGUUUGUAACCUUGGAUACCAUCAGAACGAUCGUUAUUUGCUGUAUGAUAAAUGAUUUGCUAUUUGGUGAAGAAUGACUUGCACAAACGAUGUCAACAUAUUUUACUAGUUAUAAUGCACAUGUCUAUGUACGUGUGUAUCAAAUAAAAUAUCAUAAUAAUUUCGUGUAUAAAUUAUUAUGUUGAAAAUCCAUUUAUUGCUAAUGGCACAUACAAAGACAGAAAACCUAAUUUGAUGCGGACUUGAAAAAUAGUACUUGAGAUAGAAAGGCUAGGAGGAAUGAUAAAAUUAUAUAUAGCCUCGACUUAUAUCUAGUCUGACCUGAUCCGAUUGCCACCUCUAGGACUCAAUUGCUACCAAGUCAAUAGCACCCAUCUCCUUCUGCAACAUCAAUAAAAGAAAUUAUGUGAUUUGUGGGCGCCCUAUUGUAUUGCUCUUUAGAUUAACGAAACCUAUACAUGCUGGCCGAUUAAGCCUAGAAAAUAUUACAGAUAAAAAUGUUCCAAUUAGAGAUCUUCUGAAAAAAAGUAGUGAGGUUAUAAAUCAUAAUCUGGAGGAUGAAAUAAUCAUAACCGAUCAUGAUCUGGCUGACAAAAACUAGAUCGGAUCAGAUACCUUGCCAAAGGCAAUGAUGAUCCUGGAGGAGUCUAUUUAAAUUAGAGGUAAGAUGGACACAGGUUUGUGACUUUCUUUGCAUGUGCCUACCACUAUCAUAGAGCAAAUACCGAUUCCUGUUAUCACUUGCAAUGCAAAUGCUGAAUCUAUUCAUCACGUGUUUGUCACCUGCCCAUUCUCAAUGGAAGUUUGGAAUGCUGUCAGCUUUUGCCUGAAUGCAUCGGUUCCUCCACCCAGGCUGGACUUCUCAUAUCAAAACCGGACUUCACAGUCCUUUCCGGAGGACCAACAGCAAAUCAUCCUCAUGUUCAUCUCCUCUUUUUCAUGGGCCUCGUGGAAAGAAAGAAAUUCUAGGAUUUUCUCGAGGAAAUCUUCUAUACCUGUUUCAGUUGCUCAGAAUGGUCUCAACAUGCUCAAAGAUUGGUCCGUCCUUUAUCAGAGCAAACACCUCAAAGUUUGGACAAAAAUCAAGAACAUCAGCACUAUCUUAAAGGAUUCAUGGUUCCAUAUACAGCUUACUACUUGAAAAAUCCAUCCCUAGCUGUUUGAAGUGGCUGAUCCUCUUUGUUUUUCCUGCAGAGCCUUGAGUUUUCACAACAAGAGAGUGUUCAUCACCUCUCUGGUCUUUCACUACUCUAUCCCUUGGAUGGACCUCUCUUCUCCAUGAGCCUGCUGCUACUUAUUUCUUUUGUUGAUUGUGAGACAACAUUGUUAAAGAAUCACUUUGCCCUAUUCUCUUAUAUAUAGUGCUACGUAAAUAACUUCUUUCAGUAAAAAAUUUGGAUGGCUCUUUUUUAGCCUCCCUUAUCAUCAAAAAAAAAGAAAAAGUUAAAACUUGUUGCAAUCUCAAUUUUACCAUAUUCGCUGAGAAUUUAAUAUCUUGGUGCCUAUAUGUCAACUGAAAUCUUGGAAACUCUUAGUUCUUCCUAAAAUUUCUGCACCUUCUAUUGCUGUUGAGAUAAACACAGAUCUAUGUACAUGACAAUUGAUACGUAUUAAAUUUCUGAUAUCAGCUUGAUAUUACCAUGACCUUCAAUCCCAUUUAAGAAUACAUCCUUGAACUUUGGCUAACUCUUUGGGAAAGAGUUUUAAUGAAAAUGAUGGAAAAAAUAUUGGACACCUCGACCUCAGGCUAUACUGACCUCGACAACCUCGGCCUCGACCGAAGAGAGCAACUUCGGUCCCGAUUGAGGAGCUAACCGAUCAAAGUGAGCAACUUCGUCUCUGACUGAGGAGUCCAUUCAACACGUGCCAUCAGGGACUGACAGUCCUAACAACCGAUGGCCUUGGCAGCCCGUAGUCAUGACAGCACUAUAGUCUGCACCCAACUAGCACUAAGAAUAACUGGAAUUGAACGAGCAAACGGAGGCUGAAAGCAUGCCGUCCACACGGACUAGCUUUCACGCUGCGGCUGUACCAUCGGCCAUUGCCUGGCCGUCUUUGUUCUUCACAUCAGUCCAGAUAACGAAAAAAUACUCUCUUAUAUAAAGGGGCAACUCGAGAGAUCUCAGGAAUGAGGUAGAAAGCCUCUUUUUUAAUGACUCUGUCAAAGUAACAAGACCAUUAUUUCUGACUUUUUGAAGGGGUCCGACCUAAAUCGACUAUCACCCUCGCUUUCCUCAUCUUUGCUUAUGGUGCCGUCUUUUGAAUUAGAAGAAAUGCCAUGCGUUUGAUAACAUAUUACUAUGGAAGUCGAAGAGGGGCAGCUCCUCUUAGACUUCUCAACAGGUAGUCACCCUCAGAAAAGAAAAGGGAAAACAUGCCAAUUUAACAUUUGUGACAUCAAUUGGGGCCUUUGGAUCUAUGAUUUCAAUGAUUUAUAUGUAAGACUAUCAAAAGUUGUGAUGUCUUUCAAAUUUUUGAGUAUAAAAUAACCUCCUAAAUAUUGGAAUUUGCAUGAAUUCCUUUCCAAAAUUGAUAUUUGCAUGUAUACUAUUAUAUAAUACUUGUUUUGCAUGUAUAUCCUUCUGAUCCUUUUCUUUUUUGUAUUUGCACCCACAUCAUCUAAUGCCAUUAAAAAAUUUGUAGUUUAAAAUUGAAAUGACUGAAGUACCUUUAAUGGAUAAAUAUGAAGAAAAAAAUAUUUAUAAGGGUGUAUAUACAAAUAAAAAUUUUAUGAGGGUGUUCAUACAAUUUCACAUAUUUAGGAGGGUAUACACGCCAUAAAAUUCUUAGAUUUUUUUACAUGAAUAUCCUCCUAAAUAUUAAAAUUUGCAUGAAUACCUUCCCAAAAUUAAUAUUAGCAUGGACACUUUGACAUAACAGUUUAGUUGAUAUAAUUAGACAAAAUCAUAUCUAUCUAAAUUAUAAAUUAAUUAAAUUAUGAAAUUACCGCAAAAGUAGGUAACAGGUUAAUGGGUCUUGUUGAGAACUUACCAAUUCCAUUGAACUUCCUAUCUUUGCACGCGAUCGCUCUCUUCCGCUUAAGAUCGCCCUAAUCCCUCUACCUUCUUUGUAAAAUUUUGCAAUCUCUUUCGAUCCCUCUCUUUCACUCUUCCAUCUAGAAUCAAAACCUUUUUCUUGACUCCCUUUACCAUCAACAACCCUUCUCUAUUGACCCCUCUUUUUUUUCUUUUAGUGUGUGAGAUUUGUAAUAUUUAUCUUUUAGAACCAAAAAACUUCUUGUGUGCAAGUAGGUGGCUGAUUUAAAAUUAUUGUAAUAAAAUGAGUCUCAUAGGUCUUUUUCUUCUUUCUGAAAAUCGAAGCUCCAAACAAAAAUAGCUUAAGCAUAAGGGGUGGCCUUUUAUCAUAUGAGUGCAGAGGUUGUUAGUUUGAAGGAUUUUGAAGUCCUUCAAUGGCUUUGCUCGGGGACGAUUAAUAUUUUUCUUCAACCCAUAAGGACAGCAGUAGUAAGAAAGCUUGAUUAUUGCAAUCUAUUGUGUGCCUUUAAGAGAUUCUAAUCUAUUUCUAUAUUCUGAUUUAUACCAUCACAGAUGCAUCUAUAACAAUAAAUAUUACAAGUUGAUUUUCGAUUAAAUGAGACAUAAUGGUUAUUGUAAAUGAUUUAUGGUAUAAAAUACAAUCAUUCGGACAACUGUGUAUGUUCUCGUGUCCAAGAUCCAAUUCGUUUACUAGUUUCUUGGCUUUAUAAGAAGAUGACGGCAAAGUAACACCUUCCGAAAAUGCAUUCUUUAAUAAUUGAAGUGGCAUAGUGAAAGACUUGCUAGACCACCCAUUCAAAUAUUUUAAAUAAAAUAAAUGCAUAAAAAAAGAAAUCUUCAACAAAUUCUUUCCAUGCGGAUAUAGUUUUUGAUCUCAAUCUUUCAUCAAGUUAUGAUACCGAGUUAUGUCAUCAUUAGAUGAAUGUAUAGAUUCCUCAGCAUGCAUACAAUUAGUAAAUGUACACUCAUCACCUAUUGUACCUGCUUCUUGUUCUCCACUGAAAUCUACUAUAUUUUCUAUACCAUGUCCAAGAGCAUAUCUGAGUAAGGCCCUUAUAUCAUCUUCUCCUACAGAAUUUCUUUCCAUGUUACUGGAUCCAAAACUAGAGGUGUUUCUAUAUAGGAGGCUUGGUUACAUGGAGAUGGCAAUAUGGACUCUCCAUGAAAAAUCCAUUCAAUAUAACCCUUUAGAAAACUAUUUCACACCAAAUGUUCUUCAACAGUUUUUGGAGCGAAAGAAGAACAAUUUAUACAUUUUCAACAUGGACAUAAAAUCUUUUCGUUCAUAUUAGAUUUCUCAAAAGCAAAUUUAAUAAAAUUCUGAACUCCAUUCGAAUAUUCUUUGCUGGAUCUCAACUUAUUUAUCCAACUUUGGUCCAUUUUAUUAGAAUACUGAUUGUAUUGCAACUUAUUUACAAAAGAUAAACGAAAUUAAAUAUUUAAUAUUACAUUCCAAAUGAACAACUGGUCUUCUAAGAUAUGAAGGCAGCAAAAGCAUUACCAGAUCCUACAAUACAUGACCUAGACUUGUUUAGUGGUGGAUCCAUGGUGAGAUUGCUCAAGGUAGAAGGUGGACUCAACAUCUCAAAAAAGUUUCACCCUUAGCUAAGCCUACUUGGGAAUCAUGCUGAGAAUACUUCAGAGAUAAUCAAGUUUAUUCCUCUUCAAUAAUAUAUCUAAGAAAGGUCUCUUCUCUAGAUUAUCUUAUUACUCUUCUUAAACAACAUAUUCAUUCAAUUUUGGCAAACAAAAUUAUUAAUCAGGUUUUCUAGCUAUUUUUUUAGAGGGGAAUACGAGCAAUCUAGACAAUUUUCUAUUUUUUUCCAAGAAAUCUCUCCUCAGCGUAUGCGUUGAGGAGAAUGGUGCAAGCCGGCCGAACCAUAUUGCAUCGCACGUAUAAGACCCGAGCAAUGGACUAAUGCGGCAAUCUCAAAUUAAAUGGCUGCUAGUCUCUUUUCAUAAGAUCAGGAUUGUGUUGAGGGCAAGAUUUGUGAAUGAGAAGACCGGAAUACUUUUAAAAAUCUGAAUUGGUGAGCACAUCAAAUCCAGCAAAUGCAUGUGCAACCCAGCAAGAUUCAUCAAGCACACCAAGUGUUAGAUAUCUAGGGGAAGCAGCAACCAUUGUUAAAAUCCAUGCACGAUUUAAGUAAAACUAAAUAUUUGAUCAGUAUUAAAAGCAACAGUCGUUAUUAAAUCAAGUUCCGUGGGGAUGCGAUUAGCAAAAAUUCAACUUUGGUAAACAAAAAUUAUUAAUCCAGAAUUAGAGAGGAAAAUCAUGCAAUGAUAUAAACGAGGCCGCAAUUAAUUUAUAGAGGAGUGGGUUACCUAAGAUCUGUGGGCUGGCUUUCUUUCUCGUCAAUGGAGGAUGACAGUCGGCUAGAGUUUGGAAGAAGACAGUGGAACGGCGGUGGCUAUAGGCAGGGAAGGAGGAUGGAGAAAGAGGAGGAGGAUGCAGCUAUGCUCCGAUAGUGGGUUCUCUGGAGACGGAGGCCGGAGAAGGAGGGGGAGGAUGCAACUAUGCUGGUGGAGGACUCUCUGGAGGAGGAGGAGGAUGAAGCUUUGGGGGAUUACUCUCGGGAGGAGGAGAAGAAGAAGAAGGAGGAGGAUGAGUAGGGCUCGUCGAUUUGGGGCUCCGCUCUCUGGGGUUAGGGAUUUGGGGGGCUUUCGAGGAUUUAUAUCCAUCGUCUUGUUCUUGCUCUUGGAUUCCGAUGGUGUUUAAUUGCGCCGUCUAAUACCACCGACACUUCUGUGUUCUGG
RNAcentral lists this long non-coding RNA (5809 nucleotides) under Phoenix dactylifera (date palm). Its description in RNAcentral is "long non-coding RNA (PDAC_LNC000109)". Lineage: Eukaryota; Viridiplantae; Streptophyta; Magnoliopsida; Arecales; Arecaceae. The record is from RNAcentral.